This 184-nucleotide small RNA is filed under the name Podarcis lilfordi (Lilford's wall lizard). RNAcentral's name for it is "7SK RNA". It matches the Rfam family "7SK RNA", at positions 1 to 184 of the family's 331-position model. Rfam says of the family: 7SK was discovered as an abundant small nuclear RNA in the mid-70s but a possible function has only recently been suggested. The record is from Rfam by way of RNAcentral. Lineage: Eukaryota; Metazoa; Chordata; Lepidosauria; Squamata; Lacertidae.
GGAUGUGAGGGCGAUCUGGCUGUGACAUCUGUCACCCCAUUGAUCACCAGGGUUGAUUCGGCUGAUCUGGCUGGCUAGGCGGGUGUCUCCUUCCUCCCUCACUGCUCCAUGUGUGCCCCUCCCGAAGCUGCACGCUUGGUGGAAGAGGACGACCAUCCCAGAUAGGAGUGGUAUGUCCCACAGA